GGAGUAGGUCGGGUAAUCGCAGAACCGCAAAAGCGCAAAAUGCAGGGCAGUAGCAGCGCUUGCAAAAAGGCAAAAAAAUAAAUUUUGCAUUUUUGCUGAAGUACCUAUUGAAUGCUGUUUUGCGUUUUUGCGGUUCUGAGGAAAGUCCGGGCUCCCCAGAGCAGCGUAGCGGCUAACAGCCGUCCACCACGAGGUGAGGAAUAGGACCACAGAGACGAGUCCCGCACCACUUACUUUAUGAAGUGAAUGGUGCGGGGGUGAAACGCGGUAACCUCUACGCGGAGCAAGGCCAAAUAGAUCCCGAUUAAGGAAUGGCUCGUUCCUACCGUUUUUAUGGGUAUCGGGAUGGGUAGGCUGCUUGAAGUUGUCAGUAAUGGCAACUCUAGAUAGAUGAUUACAUGGUGAGAAGACAGACUUAUGAAAAUUUUCAUAAGUCCAGCGCUCAUUAACAGAACUCGGCUUACAGACCUACUUCGCCC
This 479-nucleotide RNase P RNA is filed under the name Candidatus Omnitrophota bacterium. Its description in RNAcentral is "RNase P RNA component class A". It matches the Rfam family "Bacterial RNase P class A". Rfam says of the family: Ribonuclease P (RNase P) is a ubiquitous endoribonuclease, found in archaea, bacteria and eukarya as well as chloroplasts and mitochondria. Its best characterised activity is the generation of mature 5'-ends of tRNAs by cleaving the 5'-leader elements of precursor-tRNAs. The record is from RNAcentral. Lineage: Bacteria; Pseudomonadati; Candidatus Omnitrophota.